UGAUUUUUGUGUUUUGAUGAGAGUGACAUUGAAAAUCGCUAACAGUUGGAAGAGUUUUAAUCAAAAUCGCUUAGGAUUUCUGCGUAGAGAAUGACGAUGAAGUUAGAGCAAUCAUAGAUAAAUGAAAAGUUAGAGAUUAGUUCUUUGAAGUAUUUCAUGCAAAACAUUCGCAUGUCAAUUUUUAGGAAAAAUCGAUGUGUAUUCAUUAAUUAAAAAUAAAAGAAAAAGAAAAAGU
This 235-nucleotide long non-coding RNA is filed under the name Lathyrus oleraceus (garden pea). RNAcentral describes it as "Pisum sativum (pea) long non-coding RNA (PSAT_LNC002305)". Lineage: Eukaryota; Viridiplantae; Streptophyta; Magnoliopsida; Fabales; Fabaceae. The record is from RNAcentral.